GCGCCCGUAGCUCAAUGGACAGAGCAUCGGCCUUCUAAGCCGCUGGUUGCAGGUUCGACUCCUGCCGGGCGCGCCA
RNAcentral lists this transfer RNA (76 nucleotides) under Bacillota bacterium. RNAcentral's name for it is "tRNA-Arg". It matches the Rfam family "tRNA". From Rfam's summary of the family: Transfer RNA (tRNA) molecules are approximately 80 nucleotides in length. Their secondary structure includes four short double-helical elements and three loops (D, anti-codon, and T loops). Lineage: Bacteria; Bacillati; Bacillota. RNAcentral also lists the same sequence under 1 other name. The record is from RNAcentral.